UACGGGGGGCGCAAGCGUUGUUCGGAUUUACUGGGCGUAAAGGGCGCGUAGGCGGCCACCGCAAGUCGACUGUGAAAUCUCCGGGCUUAACCCGGAAAGGUCAGCCGAUACUGCGGGGCUAGAGUGCAGAAGGGGCAACUGGAAUUCUCGGUGUAGCGGUGAAAUGCGUAGAUAUCGAGAGGAACACCUGCGGCGAAGGCGGGUUGCUGGGCUGACACUGACGCUGAGGCGCGAAAGCGUGGGGAUCAAACAGG
RNAcentral lists this ribosomal RNA (254 nucleotides) under uncultured bacterium. RNAcentral's name for it is "partial 16S ribosomal RNA". It matches the Rfam family "Bacterial small subunit ribosomal RNA", at positions 524 to 776 of the family's 1533-position model. The record is from RNAcentral.